RNAcentral lists this ribosomal RNA (443 nucleotides) under uncultured soil bacterium. RNAcentral's name for it is "bacterial SSU rRNA". It matches the Rfam family "Bacterial small subunit ribosomal RNA", at positions 26 to 518 of the family's 1533-position model. The record is from RNAcentral.
AGAACGAACGCUGGCGGCAUGCCUAAUACAUGCAAGUCGAACGAACUCUUCGGAGUUAGUGGCGCACGGGUGCGUAACGCGUGGGAAUCUGCCCCUUGGUUCGGAAUAACAGUUGGAAACGACUGCUAAUACCGGAUGAUGACGAAAGUCCAAAGAUUUAUCGCCAAGGGAUGAGCCCGCGUAGGAUUAGCUAGUUGGUGAGGUAAAGGCUCACCAAGGCAACGAUCCUUAGCUGGUCUGAGAGGAUGAUCAGCCACACUGGGACUGAGACACGGCCCAGACUCCUACGGGAGGCAGCAGUAGGGAAUAUUGGACAAUGGGCGAAAGCCUGAUCCAGCAAUGCCGCGUGAGUGAUGAAGGCCUUAGGUGUAAAGCUCUUUUACCCGAGAUGAUAAUGACAGUAUCGGAGAAUAAGCCCCGGCUAACUCCGUGCCAGAAGCCGC